AAUCAACGCUGGCGGCGUGCCUCAGACAUGCAAGUCGAACGCGAAAGUUUCCUUCGGGGAACAAGUAGAGUGGCGCACGGGUGAGUAACACGUAGGUAAUCUACCUUUGGAUGGGGAAUAACAACCGGAAACGGUUGCUAAUACCGCAUAAUGCAGCGGCACCUAAUGGUGACAGUUGUUAAAGCGGGGGAUCGAAAGACCUCGCGUCUGAAGAGGAGCCUGCGGCGGAUUAGCUAGUGGUAAGGUAAUGGCUUACCAAGGCUACGAUCCGUAACCGGCCUGAGAGGGCGGUCGGUCACACUGACACUGACAUACGGGUCAGACUCCUACGGGAGGCAGCAGUCGGGAAUUUUGGGCAAUGGGCGAAAGCCUGACCCAGCAACGCCGCGUGAAGGAUGAAAUCCCUCGGGAUGUAAACUUCGCAAGAACGGGAAGAAUAAGUAGGGGACAAUACCCCCUAUGAUGACGGUACCGUUAGUAAGCUCCGGCUAACUCCGUGCCAGCAGCCGCGGUAAU
Molecule: ribosomal RNA, 516 nt
Filed under: uncultured bacterium
Lineage: Bacteria
Description: bacterial SSU rRNA
Rfam family: Bacterial small subunit ribosomal RNA
Source: RNAcentral